RNAcentral lists this ribosomal RNA (496 nucleotides) under uncultured bacterium. RNAcentral's name for it is "partial 16S ribosomal RNA". It matches the Rfam family "Bacterial small subunit ribosomal RNA", at positions 29 to 507 of the family's 1533-position model. The record is from RNAcentral.
UAUGAACGCUGGCGGCGUGCCUAAUACAUGCAAGUCGAGCGAACAGACGAGGAGCUUGCUCCUCUGACGUUAGCGGCGGACGGGUGAGUAACACGUGGAUAACCUACCUAUAAGACUGGGAUAACUUCGGGAAACCGGAGCUAAUACCGGAUAAUAUAUUGAACCGCAUGGUUCAAUAGUGAAAGACGGUUUUGCUGUCACUUAUAGAUGGAUCCGCGCCGCAUUAGCUAGUUGGUAAGGUAACGGCUUACCAAGGCAACGAUGCGUAGCCGACCUGAGAGGGUGAUCGGCCACACUGGAACUGAGACACGGUCCAGACUCCUACGGGAGGCAGCAGUAGGGAAUCUUCCGCAGUGGGCGAAAGCUUGACGGAGCAACGCCGCGUGAGUGAUGAAGGUCUUCGGAUCGUAAAACUCUGUUAUUAGGGAAGAACAAAUGUGUAAGUACUAUGCACGUCUUGACGGUACCUAAUCAGAAAGCCACGGCUAACUACGUG